AUGCUUAUUUGUUUUGACUCUUGUGUGCUGU
RNAcentral lists this non-coding RNA (31 nucleotides) under Homo sapiens (human). The record is from RNAcentral. Lineage: Eukaryota; Metazoa; Chordata; Mammalia; Primates; Hominidae.